GAUGAAGAACGCAGCGAAAUGCGAUACGUAAUGUGAAUUGCAGAAUUCAGUGAAUCAUCGAAUCUUUGAACGCAUAUUGCGCUCUCUGGUAUUCCGGAGAGCAUGCUUGUUUGAGUAUCAGUAAACACCUCAACUUCCAUAUCUUUUUUGAAAUGGGAGUUGGACUUGAGUGAUCCCAACGCUUUUCCUCACCGAAAAGUGGCGGGUUACUUGAAAUGCAGGUGCAGCUGGACUUUUCUCUGAGCUUUAAGCAUAUCUAUUUAGUCUGCCUAAAAAACAGAUUAUUACCUUUGCUGCAGCUAACAUAAAGGAGAUUAGUUCUUGUGCUGACUGAUGCAGGAUUCACAAAGACGGCUUCGGCCGACUUUGUAAACUCGAUCUCAAAUCAAGUAAGACUACCCGCUGAACUUAAGCAUAUCAAUAAGCGGAGGA
RNAcentral lists this unclassified non-coding RNA (432 nucleotides) under soil metagenome. RNAcentral's name for it is "partial contains 5.8S ribosomal RNA, internal transcribed spacer 2, and large subunit ribosomal RNA". The stretch from base 1 to 120 matches the Rfam family "5.8S ribosomal RNA", at positions 35 to 154 of the family's 154-position model. The record is from RNAcentral.